Molecule: long non-coding RNA, 404 nt
Organism: Phascolarctos cinereus (koala)
Lineage: Eukaryota; Metazoa; Chordata; Mammalia; Diprotodontia; Phascolarctidae
Source: RefSeq, a predicted model, not a curated record
UAACCACUCCACCUCUUAUUGUUAUUAAGUAGAAGAACGGCAAAGACCACACCAGCUACUUUCCCUGGGCUACCUGAAAACAGGUGACCGGCCAAGAAGAACGUCUUGUACGUCGACCAGAUAGGUUCUAAUUUUUAAGAAAUCUUGCCAGAAGAAAGAUGGAAAACAAAAGGCAAAAAAGCAGCCUAAUUCUUAAAGGCCAGAAGAAAAGGGUGGCUCGAAGUCCUCCCAAUAGUCCAAAUCAUCUGAUUCAUUUAUGGAAUGGAAGGAAAAGGACAAAACACUGUUGCAUUGUUCCAUCUCGGGAUGUCCUUUAAAGGCACACUUUCCCGGGAGCUAAACCGAACACGGGAACUGGAACGAGAGCUGAGGUCCGGGCUGGUGUCUGACAAACCUGGAAUGUC